This is a non-coding RNA of Triticum aestivum (bread wheat), 117 nucleotides long. Lineage: Eukaryota; Viridiplantae; Streptophyta; Magnoliopsida; Poales; Poaceae. The record is from Rfam.
AUCAUACUCCCUCCGUCCCAAAUUUACUUGUCGCAGAAAUGGAUGUAUCUUGAACUAAAAAUACGUCUAGAUACAUCCAUUUCUAUGACAAGUAAUUCAGGACGGAGGGAGUACAUG